This 498-nucleotide ribosomal RNA is filed under the name uncultured bacterium. RNAcentral's name for it is "partial 16S ribosomal RNA". It matches the Rfam family "Bacterial small subunit ribosomal RNA", at positions 29 to 523 of the family's 1533-position model. The record is from RNAcentral.
AUUGAACGCUGGCGGCAUGCCUUACACAUGCAAGUCGAACGGUAUCGCGGGGCAACCUGGCGACGAGUGGCGAACGGGUGAGUAAUGCAUCGGAACGUGCCCAGUAGUGGGGGAUAGCCCGGCGAAAGCCGGAUUAAUACCGCAUACGACCUACGGGUGAAAGGGGGGGAUCGCAAGACCUCUCGCUAUUGGAGCGGCCGAUGUCAGAUUAGGUAGUUGGUGGGGUAAAGGCCCACCAAGCCUUCGAUCUGUAGCUGGUCGGAGAGGACGACCAGCCACACUGGGACUGAGACACGGCCCAGACUCCUACGGGAGGCAGCAGUGGGGAAUUUUGGACAAUGGGCGCAAGCCUGAUCCAGCCAUGCCGCGUGCGGGAAGAAGGCCUUCGGGUUGUAAACCGCUUUUGUCAAGGAAGAAACGCUCUGGGCUAAUACCUCGGGGUAAUGACGGUACCUGAAGAAUAAGCACCGGCUAACUACGUGCCAGCCGCCGCAGUAA